RNAcentral lists this ribosomal RNA (596 nucleotides) under uncultured bacterium. Its description in RNAcentral is "bacterial SSU rRNA". It matches the Rfam family "Bacterial small subunit ribosomal RNA", at positions 338 to 951 of the family's 1533-position model. The record is from RNAcentral.
CCUACGGGAGGCAGCAGUGGGGAAUAUUGGACAAUGGGCGAAAGCCUGAUCCAGCAAUGCCGCGUGAGUGAUGAAGGCCUUAGGGUUGUAAAGCUCUUUUACCAGGGAUGAUAAUGACAGUACCUGGAGAAUAAGCUCCGGCUAACUCCGUGCCAGCAGCCGCGGUAAUACGGAGGGAGCUAGCGUUGUUCGGAAUUACUGGGCGUAAAGCGUACGUAGGCGGUUAUUCAAGUCAGAGGUGAAAGCCUGGAGCUCAACUCCAGAACUGCCUUUGAAACUAGAUAGCUAGAAUCUUGGAGAGGUGAGUGGAAUUCCGAGUGUAGAGGUGAAAUUCGUAGAUAUUCGGAAGAACACCAGUGGCGAAGGCGACUCACUGGACAAGUAUUGACGCUGAGGUACGAAAGCGUGGGGAGCAAACAGGAUUAGAUACCCUGGUAGUCCACGCCGUAAACGAUGAUAACUAGCUGUUCGGGCUCUACGAGCUUGAGUGGCGCAGCUAACGCAUUAAGUUAUCCGCCUGGGGAGUACGGUGCAAGNUUAAAACCUUAAAUGAAUUGACCGGNUGAGACGNGCGAGGACGACGACGAGGGAGGAGG